AAAGAAGCUUUGGCCUGGAAUCGAACCGUGUUCGAAUUUGAAUCAAGGCGCCAAGUAAAACGCCGCGUUUCAUUUAAAUGAAACGCUGGCCAAUCAGAAACAGGCAUCUGGACCAAUACAUGGACGAAAACAGCAAAACACAUGCAUAUGCGCGCCAUGAGGAUCAAAUGAAAUCUGGAAUUGAAAACCUAGCAAGUUCAUCGUGUUCUUCAUCCAAUUUCCAGAUCAUG
RNAcentral lists this long non-coding RNA (230 nucleotides) under Lathyrus oleraceus (garden pea). Its description in RNAcentral is "Pisum sativum (pea) long non-coding RNA (PSAT_LNC001268)". The record is from RNAcentral. Lineage: Eukaryota; Viridiplantae; Streptophyta; Magnoliopsida; Fabales; Fabaceae.